UACGGGGGGGGCAAGCGUUGUUCGGAAUUACUGGGCGUAAAGGGUUUGUAGGUGGCUUGCUAAGUCUGAUGUGAAAGCCCACGGCUCAACCGUGGAGGGUCAUUGGAAACUGGGGGACUUGAGUGCAGAAGAGGAAAGCGGAAUUCCACGUGUAGCGGUGAAAUGCGUAGAGAUGUGGAGGAACACCCGUGGCGAAGGCGGCUCUCUGGGACGGUACUGACGCUGAGACGCGAAAGCGUGGGGAGCAAACAGG
This 253-nucleotide ribosomal RNA is filed under the name uncultured bacterium. Its description in RNAcentral is "partial 16S ribosomal RNA". It matches the Rfam family "Bacterial small subunit ribosomal RNA", at positions 524 to 776 of the family's 1533-position model. The record is from RNAcentral.